UGAGCAACUUAGAGGAGACCCUGU
This 24-nucleotide non-coding RNA is filed under the name Mus musculus (house mouse). Lineage: Eukaryota; Metazoa; Chordata; Mammalia; Rodentia; Muridae. The record is from RNAcentral.